RNAcentral lists this ribosomal RNA (427 nucleotides) under uncultured bacterium. RNAcentral describes it as "partial 16S ribosomal RNA". It matches the Rfam family "Bacterial small subunit ribosomal RNA", at positions 355 to 774 of the family's 1533-position model. The record is from RNAcentral.
UGGGGAAUAUUGGACAAUGGGCGAAAGCCUGAUCCAGCCAUGCCGCGUGUGUGAAGAAGGUCUUCGGAUUGUAAAGCACUUUAAGUUGGGAGGAAGGGCAUUAACCUAAUACGUUAGUGUUUUGACGUUACCGACAGAAUAAGCACCGGCUAACUCUGUGCCAGCAGCCGCGGUAAUACAGAGGGUGCAAGCGUUAAUCGGAAUUACUGGGCGUAAAGCGCGCGUAGGUGGUUUGUUAAGUUGGAUGUGAAGUCCCCGGGCUCAACCUGGGAACUGCAUUCAAAACUGACUGACUAGAGUAUGGUAGAGGGUGGUGGAAUUUCCUGUGUAGCGGUGAAAUGCGUAGAUAUAGGAAGGAACACCAGUGGCGAAGGCGACCACCUGGACUAAUACUGACACUGAGGUGCGAAAGCGUGGGGAGCAAACA